Molecule: ribosomal RNA, 254 nt
Filed under: uncultured bacterium
Lineage: Bacteria
Description: partial 16S ribosomal RNA
Rfam family: Bacterial small subunit ribosomal RNA
Source: RNAcentral
UACGGGGGGAGCAAGCGUUGUUCGGAUUUACUGGGCGUAAAGGGCGCGUAGGCGGCCAGCACAGGUCAGUUGUGAAAUCUCCGAGCUUAACUCGGAAAGGUCAACUGAUACUGUGCGGCUAGAGUGCGGAAGGGGCAACUGGAAUUCUUGGUGUAGCGGUGAAAUGCGUAGAUAUCAAGAGGAACACCUGCGGCGAAGGCGGGUUGCUGGGCCGACACUGACGCUGAUGCGCGAAAGCCAGGGGAGCGAACGGG